RNAcentral lists this ribosomal RNA (427 nucleotides) under uncultured prokaryote. RNAcentral describes it as "bacterial SSU rRNA". It matches the Rfam family "Bacterial small subunit ribosomal RNA", at positions 355 to 774 of the family's 1533-position model. The record is from RNAcentral.
UGGGGAAUUUUGCGCAAUGGGCGAAAGCCUGACGCAGCAACGCCGCGUGGGUGAUGAAGGUCUUCGGAUCGUAAAACCCUGUCGUCAGGGACGAAGGUUGCGAGUUUAAGAGAUGCGCAACUUGACGGUACCUGGAGAGGAAGCCCCGGCUAACUCUGUGCCAGCAGCCGCGGUAAUACAGAGGGGGCAAGCGUUAUUCGGAAUUAUUGGGCGUAAAGGGCGCGUAGGCGGUUUUUUAAGUCAGAUGUGUAAUCCCCGAGCUCAACUUGGGAACUGCAUCUGAGACUGGGAGACUAGAGUACUGGAGAGGGUGGUAGAAUUCCACGUGUAGCGGUGAAAUGCGUAGAGAUGUGGAGGAAUACCAGUGGCGAAGGCGGCCACCUGGACAGUGACUGACGCUGAGGCGCGAAAGUGUGGGUAGCAAACA